This 475-nucleotide ribosomal RNA is filed under the name uncultured organism. Its description in RNAcentral is "partial 16S ribosomal RNA". It matches the Rfam family "Bacterial small subunit ribosomal RNA", at positions 334 to 800 of the family's 1533-position model. The record is from RNAcentral.
CACUCCUACGGGAGGCAGCAGUGGGGAAUUUUGGACAAUGGGCGAAAGCCUGAUCCAGCAAUGCCGCGUGAGUGAAGAAGGCCUUCGGGUUGUAAAGCUCUUUUGUCAGGGAAGAAACGGUGAGAGCUAAUAUCUUUUGCUAAUGACGGUACCUGAAGAAUAAGCACCGGCUAACUACGUGCCAGCAGCCGCGGUAAUACGUAGGGUGCAAGCGUUAAUCGGAAUUACUGGGCGUAAAGCGUGCGCAGGCGGUUUUGUAAGUCUGAUGUGAAAUCCCCGGGCUCAACCUGGGAAUUGCAUUGGAGACUGCAAGGCUAGAAUCUGGCAGAGGGGGGUAGAAUUCCACGUGUAGCAGUGAAAUGCGUAGAUAUGUGGAGGAACACCGAUGGCGAAGGCAGCCCCCUGGGUCAAGAUUGACGCUCAUGCACGAAAGCGUGGGGAGCAAACAGGAUUAGAAACCCCGGUAGUCCCAUGA